Molecule: ribosomal RNA, 448 nt
Filed under: uncultured bacterium
Lineage: Bacteria
Description: bacterial SSU rRNA
Rfam family: Bacterial small subunit ribosomal RNA
Source: RNAcentral
UCGAGAAUUUUUCUCAAUGGGGGAAACCCUGAAGGAGCGACGCCGCGUGGAGGAUGAAGGCUUUCGGGUUGUAAACUCCUGUCAUUUGGGAACAAGGUGCACACGUUAACUGCGUGGGCAUUGAUAGUACCAGAAGAGGAAGGGACGGCUAACUCUGUGCCAGCAGCCGCGGUAAUACAGAGGUCCCAAGCGUUGUUCGGAUUCAUUGGGCGUAAAGGGUGCGUAGGUGGCGCCGUAAGUCGGGUGUGAAAUUUCGGAGCUUAACUCCGAAACUGCAUUCGAUACUGCGGUGCUUGAGGACUGGAGAGGAGACUGGAAUUCAUGGUGUAGCAGUGAAAUGCGUAGAGAUCAUGAGGAAGACCAGUGGCGAAGGCGGGUCUCUGGACAGUUCCUGACACUGAGGCACGAAGGCCAGGGGAGCAAACGGGAUUAGAUACCCCUGUAGUCC